AUUGAACGCUGGCGGAAUGCUUUACACAUGCAAGUCGAACGGUAGAGGGGGCAACCCCUCGAGAGUGGCGAACGGGUGAGUAAUAUAUCGGAUCGUGCCCAGUCGUGGGGGAUAACGUAGCGAAAGUUACGCUAAUACCGCAUACGAUCUAAGGAUGAAAGCGGGGGAUCGCAAGACCUCGCGCGAUUGGAGCGGCCGAUAUCAGAUUAGGUAGUUUGUGGGGUAAAGGCUCACCAAGCCAACGAUCUGUAGCUGGUCUGAGAGGACGACCAGCCACACUGGAACUGAGACACGGUCCAGACUCCUACGGGAGGCAGCAGUGGGGAAUUUUGGACAAUGGACGCAAGUCUGAUCCAGCCAUUCCGCGUGCAGGAUGAAGGCCCUCGGGUUGUAAACUGCUUUUGUACGGAACGAAAAGGUCUCUCUUAAUACGGGGGGCUCAUGACGGUACCGUAAGAAUAAGCACCGGCUAACUACGUGCCAGCCGCCGCAGUAA
RNAcentral lists this ribosomal RNA (496 nucleotides) under uncultured bacterium. Its description in RNAcentral is "partial 16S ribosomal RNA". It matches the Rfam family "Bacterial small subunit ribosomal RNA", at positions 30 to 523 of the family's 1533-position model. The record is from RNAcentral.